AUCAAACUUUCUUUUAUAGACCGAGCCAUGAUCGACAAAUGAAUCGUGAUAAGAAUAUAAAUAUAUAGCGUUAUUGUAAUAUCCGUUUUCCAAGAACUCUCUGAGCUUAUCAGUCACGUGUUGGAAGAGAUCUAGACCUGACUUCUUGUCGAAAAGCAGCUUAUUCAAGAUUUCUUUACGUUUUCUAGCACUAAGUAUGAAAAUGCUGUUUUGUUGCACACUGUAACCACCAGAGUCUACGGGAAGCAUGCAGGUUUUUUUUCCAGAUUCCCAAAGGAUUUGGCGAAACGAUGGGAAAAGCUGAGCAGGAGACAAGAUAGGAAGGUAACCAUGACUGACAGAAUAUGCAGUUGCCACUUCGAAGAUGAAAAAAAUGGAACAAUACACUUUCCUGGGAGAAAGGAGCGUUAUUUUGAUUUUGGGACCCAAAUGCUACUUCUAGACAAAGUCCAAAUGAAAGAUAAACCGAGAAAAAAGACACCGCUGUAUGAUUCAGGUGAGUUAUACUACAGAACAAUCAUCGAUGGCACCAUGUGAGAGACCUGACGAUGACCAUACUUACUCGCAACAAGUCAUGCGACUUUCAUAACAAAAACGAAAGAAUUGCAAGACGAAAGAAAGAAGUUGAAUUCUGACAUAACUGCUCUAGCCAGGGAAACAACCAGACCAUCAAUGUUGAGAAAAAGCAUUCAGAGGCUUUCCCUCAACAUGUAUCAACAACUGGACACCAGGUACCAUCUCAAGAACAGACCAGUAAUAACUAAUGAAACUGAAGCUGAACUUGUCCCCAUUUAAAGCCAGACCGCUUAACACUAUAGUCGAUAACAAUGGCUGAUCUGCAUAUAAUGACUGCUAGUUAUUGGCUGGCAUGCAGUGAAAGGGAGCUAAAAAGGAGUAAAAAGUUCAUUUCAGCCAGGUAAUGUGGCUGGAAUAAACCAGUGUUAAGGAAUGUCCAGUAAUGGCAUGACGUCAUGAGAGUUUGGCAUACAGACAUUCACAUGAUUAAUGAUGAAACUGAAAACCUCAAGUGAAAGGCAUAGGAAGUUAUCCAAUUCCCAUAUACCUGAAAAAAGGAGGGGUGCCAAAAUAUUGAUAAUAAGAUUUUUGUCAAUUUGAGAAGCAAAGAUGUAAAAAAAAAAAAAAAAAAAAAAAAAAAAAAAAAAAUGCAGAAAUUAUAAUUCAUGUAUUUGUUUAAAAUAUUGUUCACUGCACAUUCAUGUAUAUUUUUUAACUUAUUUGGAAAUACAUGAAGUAAUUCAUAUUAAAAUUGUGAAUGUAUGAUUUUUAUCAAUAAAGCUUACCAUAUAUUUUAUUG
This is a long non-coding RNA of Ostrea edulis (European flat oyster), 1315 nucleotides long. RefSeq lists it as uncharacterized. The transcript is spliced from 7 exons. The record is from RefSeq and is a predicted model, not a curated record. Lineage: Eukaryota; Metazoa; Mollusca; Bivalvia; Ostreida; Ostreidae.